CGCCUGUUUCAAACGUAAACGCACAGACAUCUUGAAAGAAAAAUCAGUGACGUAAUAUGCGGUAUGACGUCAUUCGCUUAAAGUUUGGCACGAUUUUCAAAUUAAUAUCAUAACUAUUAUUUUUAUGAAUUAUAAGCAUGAGAUAAGACAAACAAAAAUCUUUAGAACUUACGUCUAAGAUGAUAAUAUAUUAUCAAGAGGUUAACUUGUUAUAUACAUUACAGGACGUUUCGGACCGAGUCAACUUGUAAUUGGCCAUGCUAGCGGCGGCUUCAUCAGACAGCAAUAUGGAAUUUGGACUGUAGUACAAGGACAGCGUGGCUUUUAUUGGUUCACCGAUAAAGGCAACAUCGUCACACAUCCGUCUGAUGAAUGGGAGUAAAAUCGAGAGCAGGGAUAUCAAUCACAGG
Molecule: long non-coding RNA, 410 nt
Organism: Mya arenaria
Lineage: Eukaryota; Metazoa; Mollusca; Bivalvia; Myida; Myidae
Exons: 3
Source: RefSeq, a predicted model, not a curated record